Molecule: long non-coding RNA, 632 nt
Filed under: Marmota monax (woodchuck)
Lineage: Eukaryota; Metazoa; Chordata; Mammalia; Rodentia; Sciuridae
Source: RNAcentral
GAGCCCCCCUCCCUCCCUCUGCCUGCUGCCUGUCUGUCCUGCCACUGGCAGCUGCGUGGGGCCCCACCCGUGUCCCCUCCCCUCUGUGCCAGUCUUGCUUGGUGUCUCUCUUUCUCUCUGUCUCUGUCUCUUUCUUCCUGGCUCCUCCUCCUCGCCUCAUUGGACAGAAGCGGCAGAGUCUCCCCUGGGUGCCCACUGGGUCCUGGUCCCUGGUCCUGGUUGGAGCCACCAAGCAGGCUGGGAGCUUCCUCACUGAGCUGUGUGCCUGUGACUGGGCCCUGGCUCCCAGUCUGGGCACAGAGGUCGCAGCAGGCUUCUGCUAGGCCUGGCUCACCCCACCUUACGCGCUCCAGGAUGGGCGGUCACACCCCAGAGCGGCCCUAGGCUGCACAGCCAGGACCGAGGACGGCCACUCUGGCUGCAUCUGUGCAGUGCAGAGCGCUGCCCGUGCCUGCCUGCCACUGAAGCCGACUCCCCUGGGGCUGGGCCUGCUGAGGCCUAGGAGGGCAGAUAGCUGGUGGAGCAGGCAUUGUUGUAGCCUGGGCCUCCUGGGCCGUAGCCUGGCCUCGCCACAGAGGUGGAAGGCACACACAUCCCUGGGUGCUCAUGCACAGGUGGCACACCUGCACGAC